CCUACGGGUGGCAGCAGUGAGGAAUAUUGGUCAAUGGACGAGAGUCUGAACCAGCCAAGUAGCGUGAAGGAUGACUGCCCUAUGGGUUGUAAACUUCUUUUAUAUGGGAAUAAAAUGUUCCACGUGUGGGAUUUUGUAUGUACCAUAUGAAUAAGGAUCGGCUAACUCCGUGCCAGCAGCCGCGGUAAUACGGAGGAUCCGAGCGUUAUCCGGAUUUAUUGGGUUUAAAGGGAGCGUAGGUGGAUUGUUAAGUCAGUUGUGAAAGUUUGUGGCUCAACCGUAAAAUUGCAGUUGAAACUGGCAGUCUUGAGUACAGUAGAGGUGGGCGGAAUUCGUGGUGUAGCGGUGAAAUUCUUAGAUAUCACGAAGAACUCCGAUUGCGAAGGCAGUUCACUGGACUGCAACUGACACUGAGGCUCGAAAGUGUGGGUAUCAAACAGGAUUAGAUACCCGAGUAGUC
RNAcentral lists this ribosomal RNA (460 nucleotides) under uncultured bacterium. RNAcentral describes it as "partial 16S ribosomal RNA". It matches the Rfam family "Bacterial small subunit ribosomal RNA", at positions 338 to 795 of the family's 1533-position model. The record is from RNAcentral.